UUAAUUGAAGAGUUUGAUCAUGGCUCAGAUUGAACGCUGGCGGCAGGCUUAACACAUGCAAGUCGAGCGGUAGCACAGGGGAGCUUGCUCCCCGGGUGACGAGCGGCGGACGGGUGAGUAAUGUCUGGGAAACUGCCUGAUGGAGGGGGAUAACUACUGGAAACGGUGGCUAAUACCGCAUAAUGUCGCAAGACCAAAGAGGGGGACCUUCGGGCCUCUUGCCAUCAGAUGUGCCCAGAUGGGAUUAGCUAGUAGGUGGGGUAAUGGCUCACCUAGGCGACGAUCCCUAGC
RNAcentral lists this ribosomal RNA (291 nucleotides) under Serratia marcescens. RNAcentral's name for it is "partial 16S ribosomal RNA". It matches the Rfam family "Bacterial small subunit ribosomal RNA", at positions 1 to 287 of the family's 1533-position model. The record is from RNAcentral. Lineage: Bacteria; Pseudomonadati; Pseudomonadota; Gammaproteobacteria; Enterobacterales; Yersiniaceae.